This 502-nucleotide ribosomal RNA is filed under the name uncultured bacterium. RNAcentral's name for it is "partial 16S ribosomal RNA". It matches the Rfam family "Bacterial small subunit ribosomal RNA", at positions 30 to 523 of the family's 1533-position model. The record is from RNAcentral.
AUUGAACGCUGGCGGCAGGCUUAACACAUGCAAGUCGAGCGGGGUGAUGGUGCUUGCACAAUCACUUAGCGGCGGACGGGUGAGUAAUGCUUAGGAAUCUGCCUAUUAGUGGGGGACAACAUCUCGAAAGGGAUGCUAAUACCGCAUACGUCCUACGGGAGAAAGCAGGGGAUCACUUGUGACCUUGCGCUAAUAGAUGAGCCUAAGUCGGAUUAGCUAGUUGGUGGGGUAAAGGCCUACCAAGGCGACGAUCUGUAGCGGGUCUGAGAGGAUGAUCCGCCACACUGAACUGAGACACGGCCCAGACUCCUACGGGAGGCAGCAGUGGGGAAUAUUGGACAAUGGGGGGAACCCUGAUCCAGCCAUGCCGCGUGUGUGAAGAAGGCCUUAUGGUUGUAAAGCACUUUAAGCGAGGAGGAGGCUCUUUCGGUUAAUACCCAAGAUGAGUGGACGUUACUCGCAGAAUAAGCACCGGCUAACUCUGUGCCAGCAGCCGCCGCCG